RNAcentral lists this ribosomal RNA (497 nucleotides) under uncultured bacterium. RNAcentral describes it as "partial 16S ribosomal RNA". It matches the Rfam family "Bacterial small subunit ribosomal RNA", at positions 28 to 507 of the family's 1533-position model. The record is from RNAcentral.
GAUGAACGCUGGCGGCGUGCCUAAUACAUGCAAGUCGAGCGAACAGACGAGGAGUUUGCUCCUCUGACGUUAGCGGCGGACGGGUGAGUAACACGUGGAUAACCUACCUAUAAGACUGGGAUAACUUCGGGAAACCGGAGCUAAUACCGAAUAAUAUAUUGAACCGCAUGGUUCAAUAGUGAAAGACGGUUUUGCUGUCACUUAUAGAUGGAUCCGCGCCGCAUUAGCUAGUUGGUAAGGUAACGGUUUACCAAGGCAACGAUGCGUAGCCGACCUGGGAGGGUGAUCGGGCACACUGGAACUGAGACAGGGUCCAGACUCCUACGGGAGGCAGCAGUAGGGGAGCUUCCGCAAAGGGCGAAAGCCUGACGGAGCAGCGCCGAGUGAGUGAUGAAGGUCUUCGGAUCGUAAAACUCUGUUAUUAGGGAAGAACAAAUGUGUAAGUAACUAUGCGCGUCUUGACGGUACCUAAUCAGAAAGCCACGGCUAACUACGUG